Molecule: unclassified non-coding RNA, 200 nt
Filed under: Eurotiales sp.
Lineage: Eukaryota; Fungi; Ascomycota; Eurotiomycetes; Eurotiales
Description: partial internal transcribed spacer 2
Source: RNAcentral
UUAAGUUCAGCGGGUAACUCCUACCUGAUCCGAGGUCAACCGUGGAAAAAAAUAUGGAAGACCAACGCCCGUAGAUCCUUCCCGAGCGGGUGACAAAGCCCCAUACGCUCGAGGACCUAGGCGGGCGUCGCCACUGCCUUUCAGGCAGGUCCCCAGGGGGACCACACCCAACACACAAGCCGUGCUUGAGGGCAGAAAUG